Magnolia sinica is the source of this 1101-nucleotide RNA transcript. It is a transcript of the gene named cytochrome B5-like protein, with no coding region annotated. The record is from RefSeq and is a predicted model, not a curated record. NCBI's taxonomy places the organism in Eukaryota, Viridiplantae, Streptophyta, Magnoliopsida, Magnoliales, Magnoliaceae. The transcript has 7 exons.
ACCUUGAUGUAUGUAUUAUGUAUCAUGAGCUAAAAUGAUCUCGAAAAUUGGAUGGACGGUGUGGAUAUAACACGUACAUCAUGGUGGCCCCACAUAACUUCGUAACGUUAACACACCACCGAGGUCGGUGGUGUGUGCGUGCCGCACCCCGCAAUCCGCUUCCGUAGUAGACGCUUCCGAUUCAUGGAAAUCCUGUUUUCCCUAAAAGCCGCUACAGCAUCACUCUUGUUCCUUGCGAGCUUCAGGAAUCAAAUUUUGGACAUGGUGAUGAUUGUUGUGACGUUGAUUCUGGGUGCCAUAUUUGUAGCUCUUUUCUUAAUUCCAAGAGCUAUUAAGUCUGGUGAUGCAAAAGUUGUUCAGACAAAUCCUUCUAGUAAGGCAACAAAACUGUACACAAAAGCUGAAGUUUCUCUCCAUAACACAAGGACUGAUUGUUGGAUUAUAAUAAAAGACAAGGUUUAUGAUGUUACUCCAUAUGUGGAAGAACAUCCGGGAGGUGAUGCAAUACUAGUGCAUGCUGGGGACGACUCAACCGAAGGCUUUUUUGGGCCGCAGCAUGCAACCCGGGUCUUUGAUAUGGUGGACGAAUUCUACAUUGGUGAUUUGAAACGGUGAAACCACAACCAUCUCUUGACCCAUCUCAAGUGCAACAAAGCUGAAACAUUUCUAUCUUCCAGAAACCUGUUGUGGUACCAAGGAUGACACCAUAUGGAUCCAGCUUGUGUUGCCAACCCCUGAAUACGCAUGUUGAGUGGUCCAUGACCCGAACCAUCCAUGCUGUGGAAUCUAUGCUAUACGGGCUACCCUUAGAAACUUAUGCUGAACAGAUGAUUGUGACCAUCCCUAUCCAUAGAAAAGGAGAAUUUCAAUGGCUCGCAUUCAACUCUGAAAAUCAAAGAUUAGGAUAAAAAUUGAAGCGUGAUUAUAGGACAAUAGCUUAUUUGUAGUAAUGAGAAUAUUGAUGGUGCAAACGAUCAGAUCAUCUGAGCAUUUGGGCCACAGUGGAUGGCAAUGCAUGUUAGACCCUGGGUCAUAACAGAGGGAAAAGGAACUCAAAGUCAACCGUCUGGGAGCAACUAUUAGAUCCUUGACCAAGGGGGA